CGAUGAUUGGUGACAAAGGCUUCUUUAACUCGACCGUAAGAACCUCUUAGUCACCCUCACCAAUAUUUCGUUAAAAAAGAAUCACGUAUGUAGAAACUUUGAGAUCUUUGUUACCGAUUUUCAUUACAAGAGAUCUAUUAAUUCAGAGCGUAGGGAUCCCGAAAUGGGCCGGAAACUCUGAAUCUGAAAUAGGAUGAGACAAUAAAAGAUCAAGGUAGCUGAUAUUGGACAGUCAGCCGCAGAAGGCAUGAUUUGGAAACUCGAUUUAUAGACAGAUUUUGGAGAUUGGAGGUAUUUUUUUUGUGUUGGGGUUUACGCAUAGAAGAGGAUUAGGAUGGAGAGUAAUAUCCAGGAGAAUUAGGGUUCAUAAGGAACACCUGCUCCAAAUGAGAAGCGAAGGAGGAGCCCAUGGAGACGGCCCUAGCUUUGGAGAGAGGCUGCUCGCCAUGGAUUCGAAAGGCUUCUCUGAUUAGCCUCGCAUAAGUCGUUAGCGAAUUGGACGUAGGCCUAUUAACGAGCCGGGCCCGAGCCUCGGUACCGAGCUUUGUAUUGGGCUCAAGCUCGAGCUUGCUUGGCAAAGCAAAGGCUCGGGCUUGAGCUUGUAAAGCUCAUUUCAAUUACGAGCUCAAGCCCGAGUUCGGGCUCGAUACGAGGUCGGGCCUGGGCUCGGGCUCGAUACAAGCUCGGGCUUGAGCUCGGGCUCGGUACGAGCUCGGCACUAAAACUUACUAGUAUCCAAAUUACAUACUACCAACUCAGCAGUAAAACUUGCAAUGCAUUAUUUUCUGGAAUUCAAUUAUCAGGAAUCCCAUCAAAAAAAAGACUCAAUUGCCAUAGGAUUUGUUUGAGCCAUACCCAACCCUGUUUAAUUUCGGUGCAAAUUUUUAGUUAGCUAGCAGUCAGAAGGAAAAAUUCUAACAGGCAACACUCCAGUCAAAAGGAAUAUAUGCCUGCACCAACAAAGUGCCCAUUUUGCAACACAUCCAUGAAACAACCAAUCACCCCUUGCUCAAAUGCUCCUUCUCCCAUGUAGGUUGGGCUCCUUUCAAAAAAUGUAUACAUAUCCAGAGGGCCUUCUACAACAUAAUUUUAUGGAUAAUAUGUCAUUAUCCUGCAAGCUUCCU
Molecule: long non-coding RNA, 1124 nt
Filed under: Phoenix dactylifera (date palm)
Lineage: Eukaryota; Viridiplantae; Streptophyta; Magnoliopsida; Arecales; Arecaceae
Description: long non-coding RNA (PDAC_LNC015812)
Source: RNAcentral